Capsicum annuum is the source of this 2618-nucleotide long non-coding RNA. RefSeq lists it as uncharacterized. The transcript has 5 exons. The record is from RefSeq and is a predicted model, not a curated record. NCBI's taxonomy places the organism in Eukaryota, Viridiplantae, Streptophyta, Magnoliopsida, Solanales, Solanaceae.
AUAUUUCGUUUUGGUUUCAACUUUACUGCUAAUGAAGGCAAAUAAAAAAUACUUAAGAACGGAGACUUUUGCCUUUUCAAGUUCUCUAUUCUUAUUCAUGGUAUUGUAUAUAUGGACAAUUACACAAUGUUUUCAAGUCAAUCUUGAGAAACAAUGUGAACGAUAUUCCAAUUUUAAUCCUGGAUAAAUUUUAAUAUUAGGACUUGGACUUCGAUGUUAUCUGGGAAUGUGAAAAAUGGGAGGUUCUGUGAUGCUGUUGAUGUGUUUCAAGCAAUGCCUUAGAAGAAUGUGGUUUCUUAUAAGUCGAUGUUCAGUGGGUAUUUGGGGAUUGGUGAUUUUAUGAGUUCACGGAAGGUGUUUGAUGAAAUGGGUGAGAGAAAUGUUGCGUCUUGGAAUGCGAUGAUUAAUAGGUAUGUGAAAGUGGAUAGGAUGAGGGAAGCGUGUGAGUUGUUUGAUGAAAUGGCGGAGAGAAAUGAGGUGUCGUAUACAAUUAUGAUUUCGGGAUGUGUUGGGGUAAGUGAGUUUGAGGAAGUGUGGAGGUGGUUUGUGGAUAUGCGUAGGAGGGGAGUGAUGCCAGAUCAGAAGAUGUUCUUGGUGGUUUUAUCGGUGGUUAUUGGAUUGGAUAACGUAGUGACCCUUGCGAAUUUAGUGGCAUUGGCUAUGAAAAUAGGGUAUAGCGAGGAUGUUGUUGUAGGAACUAUGAUUUUGAGGGGAGGCAAGUGUUAUUGUAGGAACUGCGAGUUGGGAAUUUGGAUAUGACGUUGAAGUAUUUUGGGAAUUUUCCCGAGAAGAACGAGUACUCGUAUGUAGCAUCUUGGGCGGCAAUGAUUUCUAGGCUAAUGCAUAAUGGUCAAAGUGUGGAAUCUCUGGAGCGGCAACGAUUCUAGCUUCAAAAGUGCUCUUUGGCAUGUGCAAACAUUGGAGACGUGAGGUGGGGAGACAAAUACAUUCUCUUUCAUUCAAAACAGGGUGCCAGUAUAAUCCAUAUGUUGGGAAUGGAUUGAUAACUAUGUAUGCUAAAUGUAAGAACUUGGAAGAUGAUGUGGAGACACUUGGCUUAACAAGAUCAGAUAUAAUAUCCCCCCUCCAUUCAUGCUGGCCACUCUUAUAAUUUCAGGUUGGAGGAUGCACUGGUACCACCUGUUUAUGGGUUUGAAGAGAAUUACGAGAAGCGGACCAACAAGAUGGUGGAGGUUGUGUGAGUAUUGAGGCAAGGGUUACCAAUAUAAGAUAAGAUGAAAAUAGUAAAGAACUGCUCCGGCAACAGUUUUAAAUCUACUUGGACUGUGCCAGAAAAAAAGUAAGUUCCGUUAACAUUGUCUCUAAAUUAGAUUAGAUUAGAUUAAUUCAUUGCGUAGGAUCCAAAGGCUUGAGUCUGUUUGGUAUGAUGGAGAACAGUUUGAUAAUUUGGCUAGAUGUCGCUCCAAGUUGUAAGAAAGCUGAUGCUUGAAUGUGACACCAAGAAAGGGAAAAAUUCACUUCUUAAAGCUGGCUAUGGUGGAUGGAUUUUAUAUACUGCUGCCUCUGCUGGAGACUUGGCUUUUGUUCAUGAUCUUCUUGAAAGAAGUCCACUUCUGGUAUUUGAAAAAAGUGAAUAUGGUGUCACUGAUAUAUUAUAUGCUGCUACUAGGAGUAAAAGUUGUGAUCCUUUUAGGGUUCUGUUAGAUUUUUCUGUCACCCCGAUGUUUCUGGUGCGUGAUGGUGGAGAGAUGGAUAAACACAUUGCUGAGGUUCCAUCUGCUUAUAAAUGGGAGUUUGGGAGAUGAUGAAUAGAGCAAUUCAUGCAGCUGCUAGAGCAGGUAAUCUGCAGGUACUGAAGGAGCCUCUUGCUGACUGCUGUGAUGAUAUCUUGGUUUAUAGAGACAUUCAGGGUGCAACUCCCUUGCAUGCUGCUGCUGGCAAGGGCCAGGUUGAGGGCUGAUGAAUUUAUGACAAAGUUAGUUGAUCCUUUGCUUACCUCGUAGCAGUGUGAUACAUUUCUUUGCAAUUUGAGUAGUCUCCUUAUUCUUGGAUGGUCACAUUGUUGCUUUAGGAAACUGACUUCGUGGUACUUGUAUGUUUUUAAUUAACACUAUGCUAUUGUCGCAUAUAUAGUUUCCCAAGAUAGAACAAACUAUUUGGGCAUCUCUACAGGGUCUUUGACCAUCAAUAAUUCUCCAUUGGGCAGUUAGCUAUGGUUAAUGGUGCUGCCAGUGGGCCGGGGGAUAAAAAAUAUUGUACUGUUUUGUGCUACUCAAUAUAUACACCCUGCUACCAAGACCAGCUCCACAACAAGAGAAACAACACAAAUAGUAGGAGAGAACUACCAGUAGAUACAUAUUCAGUUAGCUUGAAGAUGGACUGUCUCUUCUGGGAAAAGCUGGAAAAAGGAUGAACGACAAUAUGUGUGACGCCUGAUGCUCGAACAAGGUAUUUUGUCAACUACAACGUCGCAUAGUUGUAGCAACAAUUAAGAACGACGACUGCAUCAAUAUUGUCAUUGAUUGUCUUACUAUAUAUCAUUCUUUUUGUAGAGACCAGCUUCUGUAAAAUCUGUACAUAUGUAAAUAUAUAGAUAACGUGAAUAUAAUGUAUAAACAAUAUAUGUUUGUUGCUAUACAAUAUAUGUCUUCUGGUAA